This 494-nucleotide long non-coding RNA is filed under the name Pan troglodytes (chimpanzee). RNAcentral describes it as "lincRNA". The record is from RNAcentral. Lineage: Eukaryota; Metazoa; Chordata; Mammalia; Primates; Hominidae.
ACGAAUGGAAAAUGAACUUGCCAGUUCACAGCUAUGUCCUUCCCAAUUUAGGAGGUUAAGGGCGGGAAAAACAUGAGAAACUCUUUUGAGAAGCUGCAAAAGCUGACGUGGAGGAUCAAGGAUUUCAAAAGCUUUGAAUAUAAAGAGGUGUCAGACUUACAUCAGAGCCUGAGACUUGACAUGCCUAUUUUUGCACUCGCUCCUCUUUCAAAUUUCAUAGGCAUUGCUCCCUCCAAAUCACCGCUCUUCUAAUUUUAUCUUGGAGUGUGCAUCCCAGAAGACAUAAGCUGACACAAUUGGGAACUGAAGUUGCUUGAAAAAGCUGGUGGUAAGAUUAGGGAUCAGUGUCAUAUAUCACUAUUUCUCAAAGAUUAUCUGGUCCCUUGAUGGCAAAUCUACAAUAUUGAAACCCUUGAAAGAGAAAUUGUGUUUUGUGAGUUACAUGACUACCGUUUGCCUCCAAGGUCUCCUCUGUAGUCAAGAAAAGAAUGCAG